Molecule: non-coding RNA, 113 nt
Organism: Paramuricea clavata
Lineage: Eukaryota; Metazoa; Cnidaria; Anthozoa; Malacalcyonacea; Plexauridae
Source: the annotation of a GenBank genome assembly
CUCUCUGUAGCUUAGUUGGUUAGAGCUCGACGACUGUCUCUCUGACAAGCUCAGUUUGGUCAGAGAGCUGCACCGGAAUCGCAGGGCCGCAGGUUCGAUUCCUACCAGAGAGC